GAUGAACGCUGGCGGCGUGCCUAAUACAUGCAAGUCGAACGCGAAGCCUGGUUUCGACUGGGUGGAGAGUGGCGGACGGGUGAGUAACACAUGGCUGACCUGCCCUUCAGAGGGGGACAACUGCUGGAAACGGCAGCUAAUACCCCAUACGCUCGUGGUGGUUAGGGGACCACGAGGAAAGGCUGAGGUGCUGAGGGAGGGGGCUGUGGCCCAUCAGCUAGUUGGUAGGGUAACGGCCUACCAAGGCGAGGACGGGUAGGGGGCCUGAGAGGGUGACCCCCCACACUGGAACUGAGAGACGGUCCAGACUCCUACGGGAGGCUG
Molecule: ribosomal RNA, 324 nt
Filed under: uncultured Chloroflexota bacterium
Lineage: Bacteria; Bacillati; Chloroflexota
Description: bacterial SSU rRNA
Rfam family: Bacterial small subunit ribosomal RNA
Source: RNAcentral